CCUGCCUUUAUUCUUCCUGACGUCAGUAGAAGGGAGCCAACCCACGCUUUUGUAUUCGGCUCGGUGACGGUAAAAUGGCCGCUGGUUGGCUUCUUUUUUCAUACAAAGGCGUUGCAAGUCCAGUUGUUUUUAUAUACGCCCGUGGUCUCGGUACGUAUCCAGAGCAGAAACGAAGACGUCACAAAAGAGAUCCCGACUUGAGUCAUAGUCUAAGAUAAGCCAGGCACUCCGUGCUAUCGACGUCCCUUAACCGUGCGAGGUAGAAACUCACGCUGCCUGGCCGGCCUGGCGGGCCACGGACAGACACCCACUGCAUUCAAACAACACGUGGUGCGGUGGCACACGUGCACGUUGAGUGACGGUACUACUGGUACUGUACGAGUAUACUGAGCGCAUGGUGGUCGCUUUUUAUCCGUUUAUUUUCGCGUUUAGUUUUGUGUGUCAUCACGACAACACGUAAGAAAUUAGUCUCUGAGAAAUUGCUAGCACACCUACGUGAUAUGGAUUACAUUCAAGAUGGCGGCCGGCAAGGCGGGAAAAUUCGGCGUGCAUGUAUGGACAUAUGUGUUACUGAGUGUCUGUGUGCUCCUAGCUACAAGUCUGCACAACACUUAUCAUAGCUUCUGUGGUAUCCCUAGCCCAUUAUCACCCGUCCAGCAACAGUCAUCAGAUCAAGCCCCUUAUUGUCACAAUAGCUGCUCUUGGAACAGUGAUGGAGGUCCAAGCAAGACGGUCAGAUCGUGGAAUCAAAGAGGGCAAGCAGUCUACAACCUUUAGAAGAGGAGUUUAAAAAAAGGGCAAUUGUUGGCAAGUGGAUAGAAGCAGAGAUGGUAGUGAGAGUGGAAGAAACGUGCUGUCCAUCCAGGAGAAGUCUGUCUUCUGCAGUGACUAUGGGAUGUCUGUCCAUCACAGGUGGCUUCCCAGUUAAUGCUGGUACACCAUUUACACUCCAGGGAGGAUCAAGAGAGGCAAGCAGGGGUGAAGUGGCUAGCCAAGGGCCACAACAUACUGCCAGCAGCUGGAUUCGAACC
Molecule: long non-coding RNA, 1031 nt
Organism: Acanthaster planci (crown-of-thorns starfish)
Lineage: Eukaryota; Metazoa; Echinodermata; Asteroidea; Valvatida; Acanthasteridae
Source: RefSeq, a predicted model, not a curated record